This 309-nucleotide unclassified non-coding RNA is filed under the name uncultured fungus. RNAcentral describes it as "sequence contains ITS1". The stretch from base 1 to 105 matches the Rfam family "5.8S ribosomal RNA", at positions 50 to 154 of the family's 154-position model. The record is from RNAcentral. Lineage: Eukaryota; Fungi.
GAACUGCGAAACGUAGUGUGAAUUGCAGAAUUCCGUGAACCAUCGAAUCUUUGAACGCAGAUUGCGCCCAAGGUUUCGGCCAAGGGCACGUUUCGCUCAGUGUCGGCACAACCCUUCACUCACUUCUGUGGGUGAGAUCUGGUAUUCCCUCUGCUCUGCUGAGGGUCUGCCGAAUGGCAUUGCCGGGUUCCUGAUAACCUGACGGCUUUGUCGAGCAAUUAUUUGCCGACUGUUGUCAAUAUCAGAGAUCCGAGCUACCUUUACUUAAUCUUCGACCUGAGCUGAAGCGAGGCUACCCGCUGAACUUAA